CAGGGUUUUAUUUAUUUGUACUAUUUUCUAGUUGUAUAGAUUCUGUUGUAUCAUAUUGUUAUGAUAGUAAAAAUAUAAUACUGUAAGAUUUCAUAUUGCACAUGAAAUCAAACUCCUGUUCUGCAAUGGUAAAUGUUUUUUAAUCUUUCCUCGCUUGGCAGAUAUUUAUGAGGUAUGUGUGUGCAUGUGUCCAUCAGUGGACCAUGUCGGUCUGUCCUUGCCUUGCCAACGUGUCCUGUUGCGACCACGACAGGUGCACAUGAAUAUGAACCAGCCAGCCAACCUUUUAAGGCAGUGGUGUAUUAAUCAUACACAACCCAAAUGCCUACUAUAAUAAUGAUGGGCCCAAUGGUCACCUUCACCUGAAUAUUCAUGACAAAUGUCAUCAUAUCCUUUCAUUCUAAAAUAGAGAAUAGACUGAUGCCUAAUGUUCUGCUGUGGUCUUUGUGGUUUCUCUUCAGGGGCUGUGCUGUAUUCAUGCGCGUUCUGUCAUAUUCUCCAAACUGACAGCAGCACACAAACCGAGGCAGGGAGGAAGCUGUAUAGCCUACGACCUGGAGAGAAAGAGAUCGCGCUACCGGAGAGGAGACGGAUCUCUGAACCUUCUAUACAUUUUCUCUCUCCCCACCCCACUCUUCGGGUCUGGAUCGAUAUUCCCGUCGGGGGAUCGGUUGGAGUUGAAGGCACUCAAAACCGAGACUUGUCGACCUUUCCUGGAAAUAAGAACGUGCGCGGGGCGCGAGGAGGAACCGGCUGUGAACCAGUGUACCCUUGUCUACCCUCUCUCAGCCCGCGCUCGACCCGAUAAAUCCACUUGUUACAGCGCGCUUUAAAGAACCCACUUGGACCAGCCAGACGAGAUAAAUUGCGUGCUUAUAAGGAUGGUCUUAUGAAACUUUACCAACUAGGCUAUUCCAAGUAGAACCAUUUAGCGACAUUACGUGAACUUACAGUCCAGAUAGGCUAGGUGUUUACGGUAAGAAAUCUCAACGAAGAAAUCCGAGUAUUAAAAUCGCUAGUUCCGUCCUCAUGAUCUCAACACUAUACCGCCGGAGAAGCUCCUGGCGGUUUACGUCACUGGUAACGAGUCUAGACAACCUAUGGUGAUUUUUAGUGACUUCGACAUACAAGGAUAUACGAAUUCGGUUCUGCGGCUAAAUUAGUGACUCACGGACAUAUGGUCUGUAGGCGCAGGGGAUUUAGUGCCAGAACAACACCGCCUCUCCAGAGCGCGUUCUCCCCGGGAGAGAUUGGAUAGAGCGGUCAGAGUCUGAGGAAUGCGGGCACUGUUUCCCUGGAUCACCACCUCACCUGCGGAGACUCUCCGCUGCACACACCAAAUUGAACGUUGACCGGGUGACGCAAGCAGUCAUGUUGAGGCAAAUCCUGCUGAAUUCCACCAACGCACCGGACUUCGACUUAGGGCUGGCCCAUCAGACGCACGCGUCUGGGUCCGUGAACGCAUCUAACGGCUCGGUGAGCAUGGCGGGCCUGCUCAGGCCCACGGAUAACAGGGGUGGACUGCGGGAGGGCGGAGAGAUGAACAAACCAGACCUGGCAACCUACGUGGUGAUCUGUCUGGUUCUGUUUCUGCUCGUGCUGCUCAUCGUCUUCUUCAUCAACUGUCAGCUGAGAACCUCCUUUUUCGCCUCCAUGCCCUACGAUAGGUCUCUCAGAGAGGCCCGGACAUCCUACAAGUAGAACCCGUUACCCCAUCGGGUGGUAACAUUUGUACCAGGACUGGGUAACUUGUGUUAUCGAAUGUAGUCAUGGAGGAAUUUACGAUUUUUGCCAACUGCAUGGUCCAAACGCUGUGCGUAACCGUUAAGUGUUAAUUUGGCACAAUGAGAUAGAGGCCUAUUACGCACCAUGUUCCAAACUGGACUAAUGUGAUUAUGUGCAUAUAAAUGUUUAUGUUUGUUUGUAUAUACAACAUUUUGUAUAACUGCACUGUAAUGAAUUUGCGCUCUUAUGUAGGCCUGAUGUGUAAUUCUGCCGCUUAAAGUUUCAUUCCUUGUCCUGUGUAAAACCAUGAUUAAAUAUAUAUGAUAAAUAUAUGAACAACAUAUGGUGAUGAUGAUAAUGUGAUGGGAUGAAACGGAUUGAUAGUUGAAUGUCCCAGAGACAAAGCGAGGUUUCAUGACUGCAAUCCUUGCUGAUCACGUGCUUUCUUUUAUUUUUUUGUAAUUAAGCCUUCACUCACAAUAUACGAGCGUAAUUUCUCGCGGAAUGAAUGGCUUAACGCUGAUAUAAAUCGCCCAAGCCAAAUUGGUUAUCUUUUGGUUUUACACCGAGGUAAAAUGUGUUUUAUAUUAGAUAUUUGGUUUUCAAAGCAUGCCAUGACUGACAAUUGUAUAUUUUGAAUCAGGGGAGACCUUUUUGGUCUGUAAUUUGUGAGAGAAGAAAAAUAGAUUCGGAUUUCAAUCUUCAAUAGAUCUUAUUCAAAGCAGUGCCAUGAACAUGAGAUAUUCUGAAUCUACACCUUUAUUUUUUAUUAUUCUGAUUUCAAUAAAUCAUAAACUAAGCCUACCACCACUAUGGAAAGGAUAUAUUCUCAAUCAGGGGAGGAUGGAG
Molecule: long non-coding RNA, 2574 nt
Filed under: Salmo salar (Atlantic salmon)
Lineage: Eukaryota; Metazoa; Chordata; Actinopteri; Salmoniformes; Salmonidae
Description: lncRNA (ENSSSAG00000099148.1)
Source: RNAcentral